GGCAGAGUAGGGCAGUGGUCAGCACAGCCAUCUGAGCUGGAUGGCCUGAGUUCAAAUCCCAGCCCUGCCU
Camelus ferus (Wild Bactrian camel) is the source of this 70-nucleotide transfer RNA. It matches the Rfam family "tRNA". Rfam says of the family: Transfer RNA (tRNA) molecules are approximately 80 nucleotides in length. Their secondary structure includes four short double-helical elements and three loops (D, anti-codon, and T loops). Further hydrogen bonds mediate the characteristic L-shaped molecular structure. tRNAs have two regions of fundamental functional importance: the anti-codon, which is responsible for specific mRNA codon recognition, and the 3' end, to which the tRNAs corresponding amino acid is attached (by aminoacyl-tRNA synthetases). tRNAs cope with the degeneracy of the genetic code in two manners: having more than one tRNA (with a specific anti-codon) for a particular amino acid; and 'wobble' base-pairing, i.e. permitting non-standard base-pairing at the 3rd anti-codon position. The record is from Rfam. Lineage: Eukaryota; Metazoa; Chordata; Mammalia; Artiodactyla; Camelidae.